Molecule: long non-coding RNA, 913 nt
Organism: Polypterus senegalus (gray bichir)
Lineage: Eukaryota; Metazoa; Chordata; Cladistia; Polypteriformes; Polypteridae
Exons: 3
Source: RefSeq, a predicted model, not a curated record
CAUUACUGAUUUCUUUCUACAGCAUUCAGAUGUUUCUGGUUAUGACCUAACCAAACUUGGCAGGAUUACACUCAAUGACUUGUUUAUGCAAACAGAACAGAAACUUCCAAAUCAGAAAGUACGCAUAUCAAUCAUUAUGGAAUAUCGACAUUUAUUUUAGGAAUGAAGUUUGUGGAUGGAUGAAACUUUUGGAAUAACCUAUGGCUUGAUUUAUUGUUAUUUCUCAUAAAUUACUGGAUGCAUAGUUUUAGACUUCAACAGAAAUGAACACUACAACACAUGACAAAGUUUAUAUAAUGUUUAUAUUUAUCAAUAACUUCUUGUCAUUUUUGAUACAGUAGCACCCCUUGGUCUGUUAGGGUUCUGGUUGUUUUUCAAGUCAAUACCUCAAGAGACCAUUGAGAGGGGAGGUGUAGACUUAAAAUGUUUUAUAAUAAUCAAAAUAAUUCAAAUUAGACAGAAUAUCAGAUUAUUUCAGUGGGAACCUCACCCGCUCCAUUCUCUCUCUUUCCUUUUUGCUGGUCUUCCCUUAAUUGUUAAUUCUUUUUCCACGUUUCCUCUUUAAGUUGAAGACCUCAGUUUAUCUAUCAAUUAGUGAAUUCACUUUUACUGUUCGUAGCCCGGCCACUGAGGCGUUAACUGCUGAUACCCUUCUUACUCUCCUUUGUAGGCUGGCUUAUGUUUUGUUUUAUAGCAGUAUAAAUUUAGAUGGCAUUUAUUUUCCCAACUUAAUGUUGUUUUACUAAUUUUAGAUUAGAGGCUUUCUUUUGUGUUUUUUGAGGUUUGUUUAAAACUAAUUUUGGUUUAGUGUGUUAAGUAUUUGUUUUAGGGUGGGUGCUCCUUCUCUUUCUCAGCUUUUUUGCUUUUGGUUGGUAUUUUUAGUAUGUUUAAAAAGAUUUAGAUCAGGGUUCUC